This 436-nucleotide ribosomal RNA is filed under the name uncultured Oscillospiraceae bacterium. RNAcentral's name for it is "bacterial SSU rRNA". It matches the Rfam family "Bacterial small subunit ribosomal RNA", at positions 341 to 792 of the family's 1533-position model. The record is from RNAcentral. Lineage: Bacteria; Bacillati; Bacillota; Clostridia; Eubacteriales; Oscillospiraceae.
ACGGGAGGCAGCAGUGGGGAAUAUUGGGCAAUGGGCGCAAGCCUGACCCAGCAACGCCGCGUGAAGGAAGAAGGCUUUCGGGUUGUAAACUUCUUUUGACAGGGAAGAGUAGAAGACUGUACCUGUCGAAUAAGCCACGGCUAACUACGUGCCAGCAGCCGCGGUAAUACGUAGGUGGCAAGCGUUGUCCGGAUUUACUGGGUGUAAAGGGCGUGUAGGCGGGACAUCAAGUCAGAUGUGAAAGCACGAGGCUCAACUUCGUGUCUGCAUUUGAAACUGACGUUCUUGAGUGUUGGAGAGGCUAACGGAACUCCUAGUGUAGCGGUGAAAUGCGUAGAUAUUAGGAAGAACACCAGUGGCGAAGGCGGUUAGCUGGACAAUAACUGACGCUGAGGCGCGAAAGCGUGGGUAGCAAACAGGAUUAGAUACCCUGGUA